CCUACGGGAGGCAGCAGUGGGGGAUAUUGCACAAUGGGGGGAACCCUGAUGCAGCGACGCCGCGUGAGCGAUGGAGUACUUCGGUAUGUAAAGCUCUGUCAGCAGGGAAGAAAAUGACGGUACCUGACCAAGAAGCCCCGGCGAAAUACGUGCCAGCAGCCGCGGUAAUACGUAUGGGGCAAGCGUUAUCCGGAUUUACUGGGUGUAAAGGGAGCGUAGGCGGCAGGGCAAGCCUGAUGUGAAAGCCCGGGGCUCAACCCCGGGAAUGCAUUGGGAACUGGCCUGCUGGAGUGCAGGAGGGGCAGGCGGAAUUCCUAGUGUAGCGGUGAAAUGCGUAGAUAUUAGGAGGAACACCAGUGGCGAAGGCGGCCUGCUGGACGGUGACUGACGCUGAGGCUCGAAAGCGUGGGGAGCAAACAGGAUUAGAUACCCGGGUAGUC
Molecule: ribosomal RNA, 440 nt
Filed under: uncultured bacterium
Lineage: Bacteria
Description: partial 16S ribosomal RNA
Rfam family: Bacterial small subunit ribosomal RNA
Source: RNAcentral